CUCGUUCCAUCCCACAUCUCCAGCACUUGGCCGAGGUGUGGGGGUAGAUCCUGUGGAGUUUGUCAGGUGUGUAGUACCACCUGUAGAGUAGUUUUUUAUGUGCUUCGACAUGUGAAUAACAAGCGGUGAUACCCUUUAGGGCUUGGAGCGACGCUGUCCAUUGCUUGUCUGUGAAUGACAGUGCGCAUUCUUGUUCCCAGUGCAAUCUGUAGUUGAACUCUGGAGGCGGAAUUUGAUUUCUCAAAG
Pelobates cultripes (western spadefoot toad) is the source of this 246-nucleotide non-coding RNA. The record is from the annotation of a GenBank genome assembly. Lineage: Eukaryota; Metazoa; Chordata; Amphibia; Anura; Pelobatidae.